This 1056-nucleotide ribosomal RNA is filed under the name Kurthia zopfii. Its description in RNAcentral is "bacterial SSU rRNA". It matches the Rfam family "Bacterial small subunit ribosomal RNA", at positions 278 to 1325 of the family's 1533-position model. The record is from RNAcentral. Lineage: Bacteria; Bacillati; Bacillota; Bacilli; Caryophanales; Caryophanaceae.
GAUGCAUAGCCGACCUGAGAGGGUGAUCGGCCACAUUGGGACUGAGACACGGCUCAAACUCAUACGGGAGGCAGCAGUAGGGAAUCUUCCACAAUGGACGAAAGUGUGAUGGAGCACCCCCGCGUGAGUGAUGAAGGUUUUCGGAUCGUAAAACUCUGUUGUAAGGGAAGAACAAGUACGUUAGGAAAUGAACGUACCUUGACGGUACCUUAUUAGAAAGCCACGGCUAACUACGUGCCAGCAGCCGCGGUAAUAAGUAGGUGGCAAGCGUUGUCCGGAUUUAUUGGGCGUAAAGCGCGCGCAGGUGGUUUUUUAAGUCUGAUGUGAAAGCCCACGGCUCAACCGUGGAGGGUCAUUGGAAACUGGGGAACUUGAUUGCAGAAGAGGAUAGUGGAAUUCCAAGUGUAGCGGUGAAAUGCGUAGAGAUUUGGAGGAACACCAGUGGCGAAGGGGACUGUCUGGUCUGUAACUGACACUGAGGCGCGAAAGCGUGGGGAGCAAACAGGAUUAGAUACCCUGGUAGUCCACGCCGUAAACGAUGAGUGCUAAGUGUUAGGGGGUUUCCGCCCCUUAGUGCUGCAGCUAACGCAUUAAGCACUCCGCCUGGGGAGUACCACCGCAAGGUUGAAACUCAAAGGAAUUGACGGGGGCCCGCACAAGCGGAGGAGCAUGUGGUUUAAUUCAAAGCAACGCGAAAAACCUUACCAGGUCUUGACAUCCCAAUGACCGCUCUAGAGAUAAAGUUUUCCCUUCGGAGACAUUGGAGACAGGUGGUGCAUGGUUGUCCUCACCUCGUGUCAUGAGAUGUUGGGUUAAGUCCCGCAACGAGCGCAACCCUUAAUCUUAGUUGCCAUCAUUUAGUUGGGCACUCUAAGGAGACUGCCGGAGACAAACCAGAAGAAGGUGGGGAUGACGUCAAAUCAUCAUGCCCCUUAUGACCUGGGCUACACACGUGCUACAAUGGACGGUACAAAGAGUCGCUAACUCGCGAGAGUACUCUAAUCUCAUAAAACCGUUCUCAGUUCAGAUUGUACGCUGCAACUCGCCUACAUGAAU